Molecule: microRNA precursor, 88 nt
Filed under: Myotis davidii
Lineage: Eukaryota; Metazoa; Chordata; Mammalia; Chiroptera; Vespertilionidae
Description: mir-708 microRNA precursor family
Rfam family: mir-708 microRNA precursor family
Source: Rfam by way of RNAcentral
GACUGCCCUCAAGGAGCUUACAAUCUAGCUGGGGGUAAGCAGCUGGCACAUGAACACAACUAGACUGUGAGCUUCUAGAGGGCAGGAG